CCAGAGUGCAGAGCCAGAACAGAGUUGUGCUGAUACUCCAGUGUUUCUAGCUAAGCCACCAAUUGGGUUUUUCACAGAUUAUGAAAUUGGUCCAGUUUAUGAGAUGGUAAUUGCGCUGCAGAACACCACCACGACCAGCCGCUACCUGCGAGUCCUCCCGCCUUCCACGCCAUACUUUGCUCUAGGACUGGUGUCACCGGUGUUGGACUGUGGUUACUGC
RNAcentral lists this small RNA (220 nucleotides) under Pongo abelii (Sumatran orangutan). Its description in RNAcentral is "processed transcript". Lineage: Eukaryota; Metazoa; Chordata; Mammalia; Primates; Hominidae. The record is from RNAcentral.